Small nucleolar RNA from Dendrobium catenatum, 106 nucleotides. The record is from RefSeq and is a predicted model, not a curated record. Lineage: Eukaryota; Viridiplantae; Streptophyta; Magnoliopsida; Asparagales; Orchidaceae.
AAUGAAUGAUGCUAGCAUUUUCUAAGCACUUCCUUAAAUCUUUCCCAACUCUCAUAAUUGAAUUCUCCAUUAAAUUGAGUAAAAUAAGUUAUGUAAUUUCUAUGUU